GGAUCAUCUCGUAAGGUGCUUUGAUCCUGACACUCGUUUCCACCGGAUCGACGGCGUUGGCAAUCACGCGUCGGAACCGCUGCGCCCGGUGCCUUCCUCUCCGUCUCGUCCGACGCUUGGGGCCUCCGCUCGUUCGCGGCUGCACUGCGCCCUACCCUGCCUAGGUGCCGGAAGGGCGUGUUGUGGUUGCCGCUGUUAGUUGCUGCACCGAGAGGUUUCCGUCGCCUGCUACGGCCAGAUCUAGUCGAACAUGUCCUAUGGGUUAUCCACCGCUUCACUCUGCUUCACGUGCACAUGGGCGGAGGAGGCAACGACCCGACCUGCCCAGUAGCUAAACAAUGCCUCCCUGACCCGCUCUUCUCCAGCAACAGUCUCCCUUAUGGGGUAAUGAAUCUCAAGCCAUGCUUUUUUUCCUUUACAUGAACAACAAACCUACGUAUAUGUCAUACCUGACAUGUUUGGUGGGCUACUGUUGUCCGAUUGCUGGCUGUGCUGCUGCUUGUGGAUCCUUCUAGUUGUUUAGCUUCCACUAAAUGUCAACAUGUUUCAGAUUUCCUCUUCUCUUUUUCAAUU
This 573-nucleotide long non-coding RNA is filed under the name Hordeum vulgare. RNAcentral's name for it is "long non-coding RNA (HVUL_LNC001366)". The record is from RNAcentral. Lineage: Eukaryota; Viridiplantae; Streptophyta; Magnoliopsida; Poales; Poaceae.